This 483-nucleotide ribosomal RNA is filed under the name uncultured bacterium. RNAcentral describes it as "partial 16S ribosomal RNA". It matches the Rfam family "Bacterial small subunit ribosomal RNA", at positions 30 to 507 of the family's 1533-position model. The record is from RNAcentral.
AUUGAACGCUGGCGGCAGGCCUAACACAUGCAAGUCGAGCGGAUGAAGGGAGCUUGCUCCUGGAUUCAGCGGCGGACGGGUGAGUAAUGCCUAGGAAUCUGCCUGGUAGUGGGGGAUAACGUCCGGAAACGGGCGCUAAUACCGCAUACGUCCUGAGGGAGAAAGUGGGGGAUCUUCGGACCUCACGCUAUCAGAUGAGCCUAGGUCGGAUAGCUAGGUGGUGGGGUAAAGGCCUACCAAGGCGACGAUCCGUAACUGGUCUGAGAGGAUGAUCAGUCACACUGGAACUGAGACACGGUCCAGACUCCUACGGGAGGCAGCAGUGGGGAAUAUUGGACAAUGGGCGAAAGCCUGAUCCAGCCAUGCCGCGUGUGUGAAGAAGGUCUUCGGAUUGUAAAGCACUUUAAGUUGGGAGGAAGGGCAGUAAGUUAAUACCUUGCUGUUUUGACGUUACCAACAGAAUAAGCACCGGCUAACUUCGUG